RNAcentral lists this ribosomal RNA (425 nucleotides) under uncultured bacterium. RNAcentral describes it as "partial 16S ribosomal RNA". It matches the Rfam family "Bacterial small subunit ribosomal RNA", at positions 354 to 796 of the family's 1533-position model. The record is from RNAcentral.
GUGGGGAAUAUUGGACAAUGGGCGAAAGCCUGAUCCAGCAAUGCCGCGUGAGUGAUGAAGGCCUUAGGGUUGUAAAGCUCUUUUACCCGGGAUGAUAAUGACAGUACCGGGAGAAUAAGCUCCGGCUAACUCCGUGCCAGCAGCCGCGGUAAUACGGAGGGAGCUAGCGUUGUUCGGAAUUACUGGGCGUAAAGCGCACGUAGGCGGCUUUGUAAGUUAGAGGUGAAAGCCUGGAGCUUAACUCCAGAACUGCCUGUAAGACUGCAUCGCUUGAAUCCAGGAGAGGUGAGUGGAAUUCCGAGUGUAGAGGUGAAAUUCGUAGAUAUUCGGAAGAACACCAGUGGCGAAGGCGGCUCACUGGACUGGUAUUGACGCUGAGGUGCGAAAGCGUGGGGAGCAAACAGGAUUAGAUACCCUAGUAGUCC